This 253-nucleotide ribosomal RNA is filed under the name uncultured bacterium. Its description in RNAcentral is "partial 16S ribosomal RNA". It matches the Rfam family "Bacterial small subunit ribosomal RNA", at positions 524 to 776 of the family's 1533-position model. The record is from RNAcentral.
UACGUAGGGUGCAAGCGUUGUCCGGAAUUAUUGGGCGUAAAGAGCUCGUAGGCGGUCUGUCACGUCGGCUGUGAAAACCCGAGGCUCAACCUCGGGCCUGCAGUCGAUACGGGCAGACUAGAGUUCGGUAGGGGAGACUGGAAUUCCUGGUGUAGCGGUGAAAUGCGCAGAUAUCAGGAGGAACACCGGUGGCGAAGGCGGAUCUCUGGGCCAGUACUGACGCUGAGGAGCGAAAGCGUGGGGAGCAAACAGG